Long non-coding RNA from Mytilus trossulus (common blue mussel), 394 nucleotides. RefSeq lists it as uncharacterized. The transcript has 3 exons. Lineage: Eukaryota; Metazoa; Mollusca; Bivalvia; Mytilida; Mytilidae. The record is from RefSeq and is a predicted model, not a curated record.
GAUUUAUACAUGAGCAUCCGUUCUCAUACUUGUCUCAACUGAGGUCGUUAUAUUUAGGCAACAAUGCCAUAGACUACAUUCCAGAUGAUGCAUUUAUCAAUGCUUCCAGCUUAGCAUAUCUGCAACUAUCAAGCAACAAGAUUACACAGAUAAAAAAAGUACACUUCAAGAACUGUCCCUUGACAUCUGGUCUGUAUUUAUCUUGGAAUGAAAUUGGAUGGAUAGAAGAUGGAUCUUUGAAUCAUGUCACAUCUUCUGGAACAUUUGAUUUCUCGUACAACAGAUUGUACAAGUUGCCUCUAAAUGGAACCUUCCAUGACUUAUCAUUGUCAAGUGGAUUAUACCUACAGAACAACAGACUAUCUGCCAUACUACCAGACACAUUUGAAACAUU